This 253-nucleotide ribosomal RNA is filed under the name uncultured bacterium. RNAcentral's name for it is "partial 16S ribosomal RNA". It matches the Rfam family "Bacterial small subunit ribosomal RNA", at positions 524 to 776 of the family's 1533-position model. The record is from RNAcentral.
UACGAAGGGGGCUAGCGUUGCUCGGAAUUACUGGGCGUAAAGGGCGCGUAGGCGGAUGACUAAGUCGGGGGUGAAAGCCCGGGGCUCAACCUCGGAACUGCCUUCGAUACUGGUCAUCUUGAGUACGGGAGAGGUGUGUGGAACUCCGAGUGUAGAGGUGAAAUUCGUAGAUAUUCGGAAGAACACCAGUGGCGAAGGCGACACACUGGCCCGUUACUGACGCUGAGGCGCGAAAGCGUGGGGAGCAAACAGG